Molecule: ribosomal RNA, 924 nt
Filed under: uncultured archaeon
Lineage: Archaea
Description: partial 16S ribosomal RNA
Rfam family: Archaeal small subunit ribosomal RNA
Source: RNAcentral
AUUCGUGGCUUAGGAUGGCUCGGCGGCGGAUUAGGCUGUUGGUGGUGUCAAGGACCACCAAACUGAGAUCUGUAGGGGCGAUGAGAGUCGGAGCCCCCAGAGGCACACUGAGAAAAGGGUGCCAGCCCUACGGGGUGCAGCAGUCGAGAAACCUUCGCAAUGCGCGCAAGCGUGACGAGGGAAUCCCACGUGCUAUUGCUUUACGUAAUAGCUUUUUUCGUGUGUUAAAAGCACGGAGAAUAAGUGAGUGGGCAAGACCGGUGCCAGCCGCCGCGGUAAUCCCGGCGCCACAAGUGGCUCUCGCGUUUAUUGGGUCUAAAGCAUCCGUAGCCGGCUCGUUAAGUUUCCUGUGAAAUCCGGCAGCUUAACUGUCGGGCGAGCAGGGAGUACUGGCGAGCUAGAGAGCGGGAGAAGCAGACGGUAUGCCUUGGGGAGCGGUAAAAUGUUUUAAUCCAAGGUAGACCACCGAUGGCGAAGGCAGUCUGCUAGAACGCGUCUGACGGUGAGGGAUGAAAGCUAGGGGAGCAAAAGGGAUUAGAUACCCCUGUAGUCCUAGCCGUAAACACUGCCUGUUGGAUGCUAGCACAUCUUUAAGGUGCGCUAGUGUCGUAGCGAAGGCGUUAAACAGGCCACCUGGGGAGUACGGUCGCAAGACUGAAACUUAAAGGAAUAGGCGGGGGAACACACAAAGGGUGAAUGCUGCGGCUCAAUUGGAUUCUACGCCCGGAAACUUACUAGCAGCGACAGCAGAAUGAAAGUCCUCCUGAAUGGGGCACUCGACGCGCUGAGAGGUAGUGCAUGGCCGUCGUAAGCUCGUGCCGUGAGGUGUUCAGUUAAGUCUGAGAACGAGCGAGACCUGCGCAUCUAAUUGCCAUGUUUUUCAGCAAUGAAAGACAGCACAAUAGAUGGACUGCUAGCGUAGCC